UACUAAAUAAUUCUAAAAUUAUAAUGAUCAUCAUCUCAUCUUAGGUCAUAUGGCAGUAACUCCACUGUCACUCAGUUUAAAGUACUGUUUGUUUUCCUAAAUCAUCUCAUCUAAAACAGCUUUUCUAGUGGGUUUCAGUGAUAUAAUAUUCUUUAUCCUUUCACUAAGUCGUUUUCUCCCUUCUUUCUCUUAAAAAAAAUCAACAGCUUGACCAAGUCAUCCGCCAAAGAAGCCUGUCCAGUUUGGAGCUGUUCCUCUCCUGUGCACAGAAACAGUUAAGUGCUUUAAUAGCUACGGAACCAGUUGACAUUGAAUAAAGAACAUGACAAGCUAACCCACACUGGUAUUGCAUAAAUCAUUAGACGUCUAAAAUACAUGCCAUGAAUUAUAAAGAUGCUUUUGGUUUAUUUUAUUUUUUUUCCAAGCCUUGGAGAAAUGAUUUCCAGUUCAAGGAUAAGGCAAAACAAUAUUUAGAAGAACUACCAGGGAAUUUAAUUUAUUUUCUCUUAUUUUCUCCCUUACAUUUAUUAUUUUAUUUGUAGUAGUAACAGCAACAGAGUAUAAUAUGACCCAAAAGCCAUUGAAAAAUGCCACAUUAUCAAAAGGCAAUUAAGUAAAUUUCAUAUCCUCUGGUGGCCUAUUAUACUGCCUUUGGCAAAAGAAAUAAAUAUCUUUAUGAUUGCUUUAUGAUAAUUUUUGAUAAGAUGCUAGAAUGUAAUCAUGGAUUUAUUUGAUUUCAAGGAUAGAAAUAACAUAUUUCAUCAACUAUUUACCUAUGUAAUUUGGAUGAAAUGCUGGAUAUGAUAGAGAAUUAUUCUGAUAUUACUAAACCUCUUUUCUGAAGUUGGAUCUAUAUACUUUGAUUGGUCUACUGAACAACAAAAUAGAAAUAAAAACACUAAGGAUAAUGAUAUUAAUUCCACUUUGAUCUGAUAUCCCACUUAAACUCAAGGAGUAUGUGUGAUAUAUGCUUAUUUCCUAUUUCUGCUCUUUAAAGGCAGUGUAAAUCAAUGAGGUCAUUUAUCCUAUGAAUUGAAUCAUGAACUCACUCUCUAGACAGAGAACAUAACUCAGCCACUUAUAGGAAUUCAGGUUCAAACGUAGGAUAUGUAAUAUAUGAUAUAUAUCUUUUCUCAGUACUUUGGAAUGUUAAUUCAUGAACACUGUGCUUCAGUGCAAAAUCACAAGCAUUUUAACAUCAAAACUAAAAUGUCAAUAAAAUGUAUGGAUGAAAACAUUUUGUCUUAUUUUCUGAAAUGCUUCUACUUUCAUGGGCUUAGUACUUUUAUGGGAUUUC
This 1297-nucleotide long non-coding RNA is filed under the name Marmota monax (woodchuck). The record is from RNAcentral. Lineage: Eukaryota; Metazoa; Chordata; Mammalia; Rodentia; Sciuridae.